Molecule: long non-coding RNA, 752 nt
Organism: Oxyura jamaicensis (ruddy duck)
Lineage: Eukaryota; Metazoa; Chordata; Aves; Anseriformes; Anatidae
Exons: 3
Source: RefSeq, a predicted model, not a curated record
CAGGUGGGGAAAUCUCAAACCCAGGAAAGGCCUGACAAGCAGCUUGUGUCUGAGAUGCAAACUGGGAGAUUUCUUAAACAAGUAGGGGGCCUGCAUGAAGUGAGGAGUAAACACAAAGAUAAAAAUUCAGAAAUGAUGUGGUAGAAGGUGCAGUUAUUUACAUGAUUCAGCCUGUCAUUCAGCUGAGCAAUAUCCAUUUUUGAAAGGAGUAUUACCAGCAUGCCAAGUGAGAGAAGGCAUCAAGAGCCUUGCAGGAACAGCUUCACAAGGGAGGAGAAGCCAAUAAUGCAAAGUAUGAUUGCUAUGUAAGUGAAAUUUUGAAUUCAUUUAUGCACACAUCCACACAUAUUAUGGUAUAGUUGCAGAGGCUAUCACUUCUUUCAAAAAUUCCACACCGAAGUUAUAGCCUGCGUGUCAGGGGAAACUGUCUCGAAAAUUGAUUGUCAUUACAGAAUUGAGUACAGAGCCAAUUCUACUGACUCCCUUACAACUGCCCUCUACCUUGAACUUGGUAAACAAAAACUCAUGUGUACAUCCUCACAAGGUGGAAUCCUGCUAGGAUAAUAGGUGCUUCAGAGAGUUUAUUGGAAGAAAAUGUUUCUGGGAAACGUACUGCUUUCUGCUGGACUAAGGGAGACUGGGAAAUAAGAAUAGAUCUAAAGCUUUAAUGUGUCUAAGUGGAAGAAAACAUGGUUGUGCUGUUUAGCACUUUAUGUUAGAUUUGGCUGAGACACCAGCUUGGUUUUAUUUCU